GACUCGGUGGCGACAACGGUAGCAGCGUCUGACUCCAGAUCAGAAGGUUGCGUGUUCGAAUCACGUCCGGGUCA
Molecule: transfer RNA, 74 nt
Filed under: Rhipicephalus microplus (southern cattle tick)
Lineage: Eukaryota; Metazoa; Arthropoda; Arachnida; Ixodida; Ixodidae
Description: tRNA-Trp
Rfam family: tRNA
About the family: Transfer RNA (tRNA) molecules are approximately 80 nucleotides in length.
Source: Rfam by way of RNAcentral